UUCCUGACAUUGGGAGGUGAAUAAACGUUCCCAGGUUUCUGUCUCACACAAAGGAACAUCUCACUGACUUGACAUGUUCUGGUUUUGAAUUCAGGCUGCAAGGGGUCAUUGAUUGAAAAUGAGUCUCUCUGGGGAGAGAGAGGAGAGGGGYCCUGCCUCUAAAAUUAGUCUCUCUGGGGAACAUGACGCCAAAGCUAAGAGCCCAAUCAAGCAGGAGAGACCAGCCUCCCCUGUACCCAGCUGUGUGUCCAUGAAGAGUGACAAGUCUAUGGGUCAUCCUAUAUACUUUAGAGAGGGAGACUUUUCUACUGAACAAAGAAACCAACAGGAGAGAUCAGAGUCAGAGAUUCUCAGUGGUCAGUCUUCCCAGAGUCGUCAAGCAGUCCUGGCCUCCAUAUUCAGUGUAUGUGGUCCUUUUAUGCACAUUUGUUUUUGUUUACCUCAAGUUA
Molecule: non-coding RNA, 449 nt
Organism: Salvelinus sp. IW2-2015
Lineage: Eukaryota; Metazoa; Chordata; Actinopteri; Salmoniformes; Salmonidae
Source: RefSeq, a predicted model, not a curated record